GAUCCUGGCUCAGAUUGAACGCUGGCGGCAGGCUUAACACAUGCAAGUCGAGCGGGGAAAGGUAGCUUGCUACCUGACCUAGCGGCGGACGGGUGAGUAAUGCUUAGGAAUCUGCCUAUUAGUGGGGGACAACGUUCCGAAAGGAACGCUAAUACCGCAUACGCCCUACGGGGAAAGGCAGGGGAUCUUCGGACCUUGCGCUAAUAGAUGAGCCUAAGUCGGAUUAGCUAGUUGGUGGGGUAAAGGCCUACCAAGGCGACG
Molecule: ribosomal RNA, 261 nt
Filed under: uncultured bacterium
Lineage: Bacteria
Description: partial 16S ribosomal RNA
Rfam family: Bacterial small subunit ribosomal RNA
Source: RNAcentral